GGUCCAAUAGCUCAGGGGAUAGAGCGGCCGCCUCCUAAGCGGCAGGUCGACGGUUCGAAUCCGCCUUGGAUCA
Transfer RNA from Treponema primitia ZAS-2, 73 nucleotides. It matches the Rfam family "tRNA". Rfam says of the family: Transfer RNA (tRNA) molecules are approximately 80 nucleotides in length. Their secondary structure includes four short double-helical elements and three loops (D, anti-codon, and T loops). Lineage: Bacteria; Pseudomonadati; Spirochaetota; Spirochaetia; Treponematales; Treponemataceae. The record is from Rfam.